GGGAUUGCCCUAGUAACGGCGAGUGAAGCGGCAACAGCUCAAAUUUGAAAUCUGGCUCCCUCUGGGGGUCCGAGUUGUAAUUUGCAGAGGGUGCUUUGGUGUUGGUGGCGGUCUAAGUUCCUUGGAACAGGACAUCGCAGAGGGUGAGAAUCCCGUUUGUGGUCGCCUACCUUCGCCGUGUAAAGCCCCUUCGACGAGUCGAGUUGUUUGGGAAUGCAGCUCUAAAUGGGAGGUAAAUUUCUUCUAAAGCUAAAUACUGGCCAGAGACCGAUAGCGCACAAGUAGAGUGAUCGAAAGAUGAAAAGCACUUUGGAAAGAGAGUCAAACAGCACGUGAAAUUGUUGAAAGGGAAGCGCUUGCAGCCAGACUUGCCCGUAGUUGCUCACCCAGGCUUUUGCCCGGGGCAUUCUUCUGCGGGCAGGCCAGCAUCAGUUUGGGCGGUCGGAUAAAGGCCUCUGUCACGUAUCUCCCUUCGGGGAGAACUUAUAGGGGGGGCGUAAUGCGACCAGCCCGGACUGAGGUCCGCGCAUCUGCUAGGAUGCUGGCGUAAUGGCUGUAAGCGGCCCGUCUUGAAACACGGACCAAGGAGUCUAACAUCUAUGCGAGUGUUUGGGUGUCAAGCCCGAGCGCGUAAUGAAAGUGAACGGAGGUGGGAACCCUUUGGGUGCACCAUCGACCGAUCCUGAUGUCUUCGGAUGGAUUUGAGUAAGAGCAUAGCUGUUGGGACCCGAAAGAUGGUGAACUAUGCUUGAAUAGGGUGAAGCCAGAGGAAACUCUGGUGGAGGCUCGCAGCGGUUCUGACGUGCAAAUCGAUCGUCAAAUUUGGGCAUAGGGGCGAAAGACUAAUCGAAAGC
Molecule: ribosomal RNA, 854 nt
Filed under: Suttonomyces rosae
Lineage: Eukaryota; Fungi; Ascomycota; Dothideomycetes; Pleosporales; Massarinaceae
Description: eukaryotic LSU rRNA
Rfam family: Eukaryotic large subunit ribosomal RNA
Source: RNAcentral